This 252-nucleotide ribosomal RNA is filed under the name uncultured bacterium. RNAcentral's name for it is "partial 16S ribosomal RNA". It matches the Rfam family "Bacterial small subunit ribosomal RNA", at positions 525 to 776 of the family's 1533-position model. The record is from RNAcentral.
ACAGGGGGUGCAAACGUUGCUCGGAAUUAUUGGGCGUAAAGCGCGCGUAGGCGGCCGCUUAAGUCGGAUGUGAAAGCCCCUGGCUCAACUGGGGAAGUGCACCCGAAACUGAGUGGCUUGAGUACUAAAGAGGGUCGCGGAAUUCCCGGUGUAGAGGUGAAAUUCGUAGAUAUCGGGAGGAACACCGGUGGCGAAGGCGGCGACCUGGGUAGAUACUGACGCUGAGGCGCGAAAGCGUGGGGAGCAAACAGG